AUAUCAAUAAGCGGAGGAAAAGAAACCAACAGGGAUUGCCCUAGUAACGGCGAGUGAAGCGGCAACAGCUCAAAUUUGAAACCUGGCGCUUGCGUCCGGAUUGUAAUUUGCAGAGGAUGCUUCUGGGCAGCGGCCGGUCUAAGUUCCUUGGAAAAGGACGUCAUAGAGGGUGAGAACCCCGUAUGUGACCGGCGCGCACCCUCCACGUAGCUCCUUCGACGAGUCGAGUUGUUUGGGAAUGCAGCUCUAAAUGGGAGGUAAAUUUCUUCUAAAGCUAAAUAUUGGCCCGAGACCGAUAGCGCACAAGUA
RNAcentral lists this ribosomal RNA (309 nucleotides) under uncultured Zasmidium. RNAcentral's name for it is "partial large subunit ribosomal RNA". It matches the Rfam family "Eukaryotic large subunit ribosomal RNA", at positions 40 to 350 of the family's 3401-position model. Lineage: Eukaryota; Fungi; Ascomycota; Dothideomycetes; Mycosphaerellales; Mycosphaerellaceae. The record is from RNAcentral.